UGUCACCAUGGUGUAGAGAGGAGGUGUGUCACCAUGGUGUAGAGGAGAUGUGUCACCAUGGUGUAGAGAGGAGGUGUGUCACCAUGGUGUAGAGAGGAGGUGUGUCACCAUGGUGUAGAGAGGAGGUGUGUCACCAUGGUGUAGAGAGGAGGUGUGUCACCAUGGUGUAGAGAGGAGAUGUGUCACCAUAGUGUAGAGAGGAGGUGUGUUACCAUGGUGUAGAGAGGAGGUGUGUCACCAUGGUGUAGAGGAGAGGAGGUGUGUCACCAUGGUGUAGAGAGGAGGUGUGUCACCAUGGUGUAGUGGAGGAGGUGUGUCACCAUGGUGUAGAGAGGAGGUGUGUCACCAUGGUGUAGAGAGGAGGUGUGUCACCAUGGUGUAGAGGAGAGGAGGUGUGUCACCAUGGUGUAGAGGAGAGGAGGUGUGUCACCAUGGUGUAGUGGAGGAGGUGUGUCACCAUGGUGUAGAGAGGAGGUGUGUCACCAUGGUGUAGAGGAGGUGUGUCACCAUGGUGUAGAGAGGAGGUGUGUCACCAUGGUGUAGAGGAGAGGAGGUGUGUCACCAUGGUGUAGAAAAUGGGAGGUGUGUUUAUCAGCUUUAUUUUUUUGCUCAUUGUUAUUCCCCCGUUGUUAUGUCAGUUUCAAGUAGUAUGCACAUAUUUAUGUGUAUCAGACCAUGUGUGUGUAUGUGUGUAUGUGAGUGUGCAUGUGUGUAUGUAAGUGUGCUUGUGUGCACGCCUCAGAUGUUCUGCGGGUGGUUGAGUGUGUUAAAACUCUUUCCCCAGUUCUAUAAAGAUUAAUUUACUGUUUAAUUUAAUGUCCUUCCAUGAUAAAAUAUAGAAAAUCUUUAAUUGAAAUUUGGGUAACAUUUUAGGGCUAAGGGUUGUAACAAAGAGUGUAUCACAAAAAAAUACAAACAAGAAAGAUAUAUAUAUAUAAAUACUCUUACAGUGCAUUUACUAAAGGUCAGCAUACAGUGUAUAGCUGUGGUGUUUCAACACAAAGUGUGCACUCCCAAAUAAAUUAAGUUAAAUUCACUGCAACUUCUUUCUUUAAAUAUAUAACAUAUCUUGAUUAAAUGUAUCAUCUGUUGAGGUACAUGCAAUUUACAUUUUAUGCCAGGACUUUAUAUCCCUGUAUCUGGCCCUUUCUGUAAAAUGUUACCAAAAUUUUUACAUCACAGAAAUAACACAAAAAAUGAAUAACUGUACAGAUUGUGUAAAUAUAAAUAUGGAAAAAUGAUGACACUUAUUCCUUCAUUUUUUGUAUGGAAAUAAUUAAAUAAACAACAAUAAUAAAUUAACAAAUUCAUUGCAAAAAAAAAAAGAAAAUACAAAAAAAAAACAUUCAUAACGGUACUUAUAAUAUAUACUGACAUGUACAAUGAUAAGUGCGAAAAUCUGAUUCUGUCUCUUUGUACAAAAUGAACCAACUAAGAAAGUGUUGAGUAUUAAUAAAAAAAGAUAAGCCUCA
Molecule: long non-coding RNA, 1472 nt
Organism: Conger conger (European conger)
Lineage: Eukaryota; Metazoa; Chordata; Actinopteri; Anguilliformes; Congridae
Exons: 2
Source: RefSeq, a predicted model, not a curated record